AGCCCUUCCCUUUCACUGGCCU
RNAcentral lists this microRNA (22 nucleotides) under Cervus elaphus (red deer). RNAcentral describes it as "PC-5p-12916". The record is from RNAcentral. RNAcentral also lists the same sequence under 1 other name. Lineage: Eukaryota; Metazoa; Chordata; Mammalia; Artiodactyla; Cervidae.